UUACCUUAGCUUUCUUGGGAACAGGAACAAUGGUGGCCCUCUUGAAGCAUGUGGGAACAGCAGACUGGGAUGGGGAUUGAUUGAAUAUGUCCGUAAACACUUGUUCAAUGACAAAGUUGAAUCUAAUCUAAAUUUGUAAAACAUGGUAUAUAUUGUUGUAAUCAAUGACUGUGAGGACAUUGGGAGGAAACUUCUUCAAAGGGAAUCUUUCUGGAUCCACAGGGUCAACACACUGUCUCCUCUUGGCCUUAACGAGGAGUUUGACUUGAAAUAGUUUUUAUAGUUUCAAAAUUAUUUUAUAUUUUAAAAUCCUAAUUGAAUAUUGUAUGUGUAUGUAUAUUACUGUAAAUAUUAAUCAAAUUUAUUGUGUAUGAUCAUAUAUUGUGAUACAUUGAAUGUUAAUAUUGUGUACCUAUGUUAUACAUUUUUACUUUCUGUUUCAGGAAGUACUGCCCCUAUAUAUACUAUAUAUGUCACUGAGGACUGCCCCUAUAUAUAGAACCUUCCACCCCCACCUGGGAUAUGGAUGCCUGAUAAAGACAUAAGGGUCAAAGCGUUGUUAUAAAUAUCACCUGGGAGCAUGAGCAGCAGUGUGUUGAGUUUUCCUUUCUGUUUUCCUUUUGCAUAUGGUUGUAACCCACUAUUAUUUUGGGCUGAGUCCUUCAAUGAUUUCCGUUGGGAAUCGUUUAUGCCUAUUGCCACUAGCCCUCCCCUUAACAACACUCGAAGAAGACAUCUGUGACAACCCUAAUCAUUUCUCCUCCUGUCUCCUCUUUCUUUGUUCUGUUAGACAGGUAUGUGGUGUACACAAGCAUAAUAUCUAUAGAACAUCUUAGAGUAAAUGGUUGUCUGAGUGAUACUUAGCUUUUAUUAUUGAAAUUGUAAAGUUUAAAUGUGUAAAUUGAUUGAGUGAAACCGUUAGCGAUCUUGACAUAGAGAUGACUGUGCUAAGCUAGGCUAGCCCAUCGAAUAACACAAUAAGAAAUGUCGGCAGCUAAUAUUCUGGUUUUAACUUAUUGAUUCAUAGGUGAGGUAAUAUUGUGGUUUCUUUUCUACUCCGUUUAUAUUUUCUAGGCGCUGACAUCUCCCCAUUUGUUUAGAAAAACUGUAUACGCUAACGCUCAGCUAACUGCUCUAAUGCUAGCCUGUCAAGCCUAUAGGGUUGCUAUGAGCUUAGCAGCUACCGUUACCUGGCUCAGUAUAGAGAUGAUUGCACUGGUUUAUGGUUAAUUUAGCUAUAAAGGUUCAAAUAGGCUUCCUUAUGUGUGUAUUUAUUUAUAUUGAAACAGUACAUGAUUGUUAACUUUUAUAUCAUCUGAGGUUAAGAUAAAUACUGAGAAGGUAUAUUUUUAAAUGCAAGUCAAGGUAUUAGCUAGCGGAAUUGUUUUAAAUACAGAGAAUGUACUAUGUUACUGUACUUACAGUACUUUCUAGUCUUUUACAGCAUCUGAAUGAAUUAUUCAUGUUUUGCAGAUCGAAAUUCACCCAGGCUCAAACAUUACAGUGGGCGACCAUGCAAACAGGCCAACUGCGAUGGCAAGAGAGCUGUGGUUUUGAUGUUGACAUGUUGCUGAAUAACAACCUGAAAUGUGGCAAAACUAAAAGGGGAGAAAAAAACCGAUCCUGAAAAAAAUGCUGGCAAGAGUGCUUUCCGGGUGUAACAAAGAGACAAGUGGGAACGGCUUGCAACAGUAAAAUGGCUGAAUUAAGAAGUGAUGAGAGAAAAGCAUUUAAUGAAUAGGAUGAAAUUAAGUUUUUAUUGUUUUGUGUUUGUUCUAAUGUUUUAUUACCAUGGCUACAAGUACUAUGACUACAAGUAUCACUGAAAUAAUGCAGGUAUUGUGACAUAAGGGACAUAUACAGUGUCUUCAGAAAGUAUUCACACCCCUUGACUUUUUCCACAUUUUAUUGUGUUACAAAGUGGGAUUAAAAUGGAUUUAAUUGUCAUUUUUUUGUCAACG
Non-coding RNA from Oncorhynchus mykiss (rainbow trout), 1961 nucleotides. The record is from RefSeq and is a predicted model, not a curated record. Lineage: Eukaryota; Metazoa; Chordata; Actinopteri; Salmoniformes; Salmonidae.